This 85-nucleotide transfer RNA is filed under the name compost metagenome. RNAcentral describes it as "tRNA-Ile". The record is from RNAcentral.
CGAAGCCGUCGGCGGCAGCAGCCAGCGCCUGCAGCCGCUGAUGGCGGCUGGCGUGCGCGGCGGGAUCAUCGCCGUCGGCCUCGGC